Molecule: ribosomal RNA, 425 nt
Filed under: uncultured bacterium
Lineage: Bacteria
Description: partial 16S ribosomal RNA
Rfam family: Bacterial small subunit ribosomal RNA
Source: RNAcentral
GUGGGGAAUCUUGCGCAAUGGGCGAAAGCCUGACGCAGCAACGCCGCGUGCGGGAUGAAGGCCUUCGGGUUGUAAACCGCUUUCAGCAGGGACGAAAAUGACGGUACCUGCAGAAGAAGCUCCGGCUAACUACGUGCCAGCAGCCGCGGUAAUACGUAGGGAGCAAGCGUUGUCCGGAUUUAUUGGGCGUAAAGAGCUCGUAGGCGGUUUCGUAAGUAGAGUGUGAAAAAUCUGGGCUUAACCCAGUGGAGGACUCGAGACUGCGAUGACUUGAGUCUAGUAGAGGAGUGUGGAAUUCCUGGUGUAGCGGUGAAAUGCGCAGAUAUCAGGAGGAACACCAACGGCGAAGGCAGCACUCUGGGCCAGUACUGACGCUGAGGAGCGAAAGCGUGGGGAGCAAACAGGAUUAGAAACCCGGGUAGUCC